This 230-nucleotide unclassified non-coding RNA is filed under the name plant metagenome. RNAcentral describes it as "partial contains small subunit ribosomal RNA, internal transcribed spacer 1, and 5.8S ribosomal RNA". The record is from RNAcentral.
UCUCCGUAGGUGAACCUGCGGAGGGAUCAUUACAGAGUUCUCGCCCUCGCGGGUCGAUCUCCCCCCCUCUGUUAUCGUUACUGUCGUUUCUUUGGCGGGCCGCCGGGUCCCCGGCCGCCGGCCUUGAAUAUGCGCAGCGCGCCCGCCAGAAGCCUUUGAGCCCUGAAUGUUAAUAUCGUUCGAUUACUAUAUUCUAGUUAAAACUUUCAACAACGGAUCUCUUGGUUCUG